ACGGCGAGUGAAGCGGGAAGAGCUCAAAUUUGAAAUCUGGCGGCAUCCUGUCGUCCGAGUUGUAAUCUAUAGAAGUGUUUUCCGCGGCGGACCAUGUACAAGUCCCUUGGAACAGGGCGUCAUAGAGGGUGAGAAUCCCGUCCUUGACAUGAUCUCCGGUUGCUAUGUGAUACACUUUCAACGAGUCGAGUUGUUUGGGAAUGCAGCUCAAAAUGGGUGGUGAAUUCCAUCUAAAGCUAAAUAUUGGCGAGAGACCGAUAGCGAACAAGUACCGUGAGGGAAAGAUGAAAAGCACUUUGGAAAGAGAGUUAAACAGUACGUGAAAUUGUUGAAAGGGAAACGAUUGAAGUCAGUCAUGCUCUUUGGGUUAAGCCGUUCGCGGUGUAUUCCAUUGAGUGGGGUCAACAUCAGUUUUGACCGCUGGAAAAAGGCACGAGGAAGGUAGCACUCUCGGGUGAACUUAUAGCCUCGCGUCAUAUACAGUGGUUGGGACUGAGGAACGCAGCAUGCCUUAUGGCCGGGAUUCGUCCACGUACAUGCUUAGGAUGUU
This 550-nucleotide ribosomal RNA is filed under the name Naganishia bhutanensis. RNAcentral describes it as "eukaryotic LSU rRNA". It matches the Rfam family "Eukaryotic large subunit ribosomal RNA", at positions 86 to 627 of the family's 3401-position model. The record is from RNAcentral. Lineage: Eukaryota; Fungi; Basidiomycota; Tremellomycetes; Filobasidiales; Filobasidiaceae.